Molecule: transfer-messenger RNA, 353 nt
Filed under: Planctomycetaceae bacterium
Lineage: Bacteria; Pseudomonadati; Planctomycetota; Planctomycetia; Planctomycetales; Planctomycetaceae
Rfam family: transfer-messenger RNA
About the family: Bacterial tmRNA, also known as 10Sa RNA or SsrA, is named for its dual tRNA and mRNA-like properties.
Source: RNAcentral
GGGGGCGAUUGGAUUCGACUGGGUCACCGUAGGUUUGGGUGGCGUGCCGUGGUUGAUCAGCUGGCCACGUAAAAAGCUGAUCGAAUUUAACUGCCAACAAGCAGUUUGCUUUGGCUGCGUAAACGCAGCUCCGGCCGAUGGAUCCUUGCCCGAGGAGCCUGAAGGUCGGUCAAAAAUCGGGCUGGUACCAGGUCAGCCGUCCGCUACGCCUGGUACGAGAAACCGUGGUGGACUAGCUGUCGUACGUGUCUUGUCCGUGGAACCGUCGACAGUGAGAUCAAUCAACGGAAUACGCACGUAGAGGCCUUUACUGAGGGAUCACAGGACGCGGGUUCGAUUCCCGCCGCCUCCAC